CCCGCAGGGCUCCGGGCGGCCGUGACCCUGCUGGAGUCCGGGGGGGACCUCCAGCCCCCCGGGGGGUCCCUGCGCCUCCUCUGCCGCGGCUCUGGGUUCAGUUUUGGAAAUUAUGGAAUGUUCUGGAUCCGCCAGAGACCUGGGCAGACCCUGGAAUACGUCGCGAGUAUCAGCAGCAAUGGUGGUGCCACCAACUACGCGCCGUCGGUCAAGGGCCGGUUCACGCUGUCCAGGGACAACGGGCAGAGCUCGGUGACGCUGACCAUGAGCAGCCUCAAGGACGAGGAUUCCGGAUCCUAUUUCUGUGCCAGACGUUUUGAUAGUGGCACUGGUAAUAUUGCUGAUGGUCGGCGGCGCGCGGCUUUGCGUGCAGCCGGCGCUCUGCGGGGGCGCCGAGCAGCCGGGCGCGCCUCCGCCACGCACAGGUGGCAGAGACGAAAAGAACCCGGCGGCUUUCUCUCUCCUGUCCCGGCCCGGCCCGGCCGCGCCCCAGCAGCCGCCAGGAAGGAAGUGGGGGGCGGCUGCGUGUAA
Molecule: non-coding RNA, 531 nt
Organism: Motacilla alba alba
Lineage: Eukaryota; Metazoa; Chordata; Aves; Passeriformes; Motacillidae
Source: the annotation of a RefSeq genome assembly